AUUGAACGCUGGCGGCAGGCCUAACACAUGCAAGUCGAGCGGAUGAAGGGAGCUUGCUCCUGGAUUCAGCGGCGGACGGGUGAGUAAUGCCUAGGAAUCUGCCUGGUAGUGGGGGAUAACGUCCGGAAACGGGCGCUAAUACCGCAUACGUCCUGAGGGAGAAAGUGGGGGAUCUUCGGACCUCACGCUAUCAGAUGAGCCUAGGUCGGAUUAGCUAGUUGGUGGGGUAAAGGCCUACCAAGGCGACGAUCCGUAACUGGUCUGAGAGGAUGAUCAGUCACACUGGAAGUGAGACACGGUCCAGGCUCCUACGGGAGGCAGCAGUGGGGAAUAUUGGACAGUAGGCGAAAGCCUGAUCCAGCCAUGCCGCGUGUGUGAAGGAGGUCUUCGGAUUGUAAAGCACUUUAAGUUGGGAGGAAGGGCAGUAAGUUAAUACCUUGCUGUUUUGACGUUACCAGCAGAAUAAGCACCGGCUAACUUCGUG
RNAcentral lists this ribosomal RNA (484 nucleotides) under uncultured bacterium. Its description in RNAcentral is "partial 16S ribosomal RNA". It matches the Rfam family "Bacterial small subunit ribosomal RNA", at positions 30 to 507 of the family's 1533-position model. The record is from RNAcentral.